This 1240-nucleotide ribosomal RNA is filed under the name Flavobacterium sp. ICM 590. Its description in RNAcentral is "bacterial SSU rRNA". It matches the Rfam family "Bacterial small subunit ribosomal RNA", at positions 91 to 1338 of the family's 1533-position model. The record is from RNAcentral. Lineage: Bacteria; Pseudomonadati; Bacteroidota; Flavobacteriia; Flavobacteriales; Flavobacteriaceae.
GAGACCGGCGCACGGGUGCGUAACGCGUAUGCAAUCUACCUUUUACAGAGGGAUAGCCCAGAGAAAUUUGGAUUAAUACCUCAUAGUAUUAUGACUCGGCAUCGAGAUAUAAUUAAAGUCACAACGGUAAAAGAUGAGCAUGCGUCCCAUUAGCUAGUUGGUAAGGUAACGGCUUACCAAGGCUACGAUGGGUAGGGGUCCUGAGAGGGAGAUCCCCCACACUGGUACUGAGACACGGACCAGACUCCUACGGGAGGCAGCAGUGAGGAAUAUUGGACAAUGGGCGCAAGCCUGAUCCAGCCAUGCCGCGUGCAGGAUGACGGUCCUAUGGAUUGUAAACUGCUUUUAUACGAGAAGAAACACUACUUCGUGAAGUAGCUUGACGGUAUCGUAAGAAUAAGGAUCGGCUAACUCCGUGCCAGCAGCCGCGGUAAUACGGAGGAUCCAAGCGUUAUCCGGAAUCAUUGGGUUUAAAGGGUCCGUAGGCGGUUUAAUAAGUCAGUGGUGAAAGCCCAUCGCUCAACGGUGGAACGGCCAUUGAUACUGUUAGACUUGAAUUAUUAGGAAGUAACUAGAAUAUGUAGUGUAGCGGUGAAAUGCUUAGAGAUUACAUGGAAUACCAAUUGCGAAGGCAGGUUACUACUAAUGGAUUGACGCUGAUGGACGAAAGCGUGGGUAGCGAACAGGAUUAGAUACCCUGGUAGUCCACGCCGUAAACGAUGGAUACUAGCUGUUGGGAGCAAUCUCAGUGGCUAAGCGAAAGUGAUAAGUAUCCCACCUGGGGAGUACGUUCGCAAGAAUGAAACUCAAAGGAAUUGACGGGGGCCCGCACAAGCGGUGGAGCAUGUGGUUUAAUUCGAUGAUACGCGAGGAACCUUACCAAGGCUUAAAUGUAGUUUGACCGGUUUGGAAACAGAUCUUUCGCAAGACAAAUUACAAGGUGCUGCAUGGUUGUCGUCAGCUCGUGCCGUGAGGUGUCAGGUUAAGUCCUAUAACGAGCGCAACCCCUGUUGUUAGUUGCCAGCGAGUCAAGUCGGGAACUCUAACAAGACUGCCAGUGCAAACUGUGAGGAAGGUGGGGAUGACGUCAAAUCAUCACGGCCCUUACGCCUUGGGCUACACACGUGCUACAAUGGCCGGUACAGAGAGCAGCCACUGGGCGACCAGGAGCGAAUCUAUAAAACCGGUCACAGUUCGGAUCGGAGUCUGCAACUCGACUCCGUGAAGCUGGAAUCGCUAG